This 240-nucleotide long non-coding RNA is filed under the name Eucalyptus grandis. Its description in RNAcentral is "long non-coding RNA (EGRA_LNC004789)". The record is from RNAcentral. Lineage: Eukaryota; Viridiplantae; Streptophyta; Magnoliopsida; Myrtales; Myrtaceae.
GCCGACCACUCCAUAAGCCACUAGUGGCUGAGAGAAAGCGAGCAGCACCUUGUAUAGGUUGGGCGGAGCUUGAAGAAGCGAGUCCCUUUCAGAGAAAGCCAUUGCGCGCUAGCCUAGCUAGCUAACUUCAGCUGGCUGUUAUCUUAGUUGUAGCGCGCCUUCCCUCCUUCUCUCACUUCGGAAAGAUUUAGCAGUAUUUUUCUUAUGAUGACCGGGUCGAGAGAGUACGAUACAUCGGUG